This is a long non-coding RNA of Sebastes umbrosus (honeycomb rockfish), 1010 nucleotides long. RefSeq lists it as uncharacterized. NCBI's taxonomy places the organism in Eukaryota, Metazoa, Chordata, Actinopteri, Perciformes, Sebastidae. The transcript is spliced from 2 exons. The record is from RefSeq and is a predicted model, not a curated record.
CUCAUUGGCUGUCUGUCAAGUGCAUUCAUGGACACAGUUGGAGCAAUGACACGCCACUCUAACUGACUGAGGAGGAAGAGUGCAUUUUUCACAUUUUAUAUAUAUUGGAGUUUGUUUUUUUUAAUAAUGCCCCCCAUAUGUAUUGGACUGAUAUUAAUUCUCAUGUUGCUGUUGUUUCAAGGAGUGUGACUGUGCAGAUACAGUAGGGAGGAACUAUAACACUGCUGGCUGGAUGCUGGAGGAAGUAAGACAGAUCAGAUGCCAGAAUGGGUGAUCUCCAACAAGAAAGACACAUAUUAAUAACAUAUUAAUCACAAUCAACCUAAGCCCUAUUUUUUAAAUAAUAAAACAUGAAUGACUGCAUUAUUUUGUAUUUUACCAAAUCACUAUUAUUGUUUUGUUGUUGUUUUGUUUUACAUUGCGAAUAUUCAUUUCCAACAAUAUUUAAAUCCACUAAUAAUGUGUUCUGCAAACCAGAAUACUUUGAUUUCUGAAUUUCUUGCCUUCCUUAAAGAGUUGAAAUUAUUAGGAUAACUAUUUUUCUGACAUAUUCUCCAUGUCCAAAGAGAAAUUGCAUAUAUUGUCAUCUCAUAAUUGACACAGAUGUUUUUAUUUUUCAACAAAAAGUACCCUAGUUUUCUUAGAAUAUUAGAUACCUAAUAAUUAGCAACUGAUAUCUGAUUGUGUGAAUGUAUGGAGAUAAAAAUGACUUUAUUGAAUGCAGUUCAUUUUAUUUCAGUACUUGCAUUUUCAGAUUUCAUUAUUGAUUCAGCCCUUUUUUCUCAUACAAAUAGUAAAUGGUAUUGUUUUAUGAUUCUAAUUUUUUUUUUUUUACCGCACCUUAUAGUAAACAGGUCCUAAAUUUGAAUCUUGGAUAUGGUCCAUUUUUCUUUGAGUUUGCAUGACCUUCCCAGUGAUACAUGGAUAUCAGCCAGUUGCUCUGCAGAAGUCACUCUCCAAUGACAUGUAAGGUUGAUAAGAGACUAAAAUCAUUAAAGUGUUUACCUGUU